This 75-nucleotide transfer RNA is filed under the name Algoriphagus halophilus. Its description in RNAcentral is "tRNA_Pro_GGG". It matches the Rfam family "tRNA". From Rfam's summary of the family: Transfer RNA (tRNA) molecules are approximately 80 nucleotides in length. The record is from RNAcentral. Lineage: Bacteria; Pseudomonadati; Bacteroidota; Cytophagia; Cytophagales; Cyclobacteriaceae. RNAcentral also lists the same sequence under 8 other names.
CGGGGUGUGGCGCAGUCCGGUUAGCGUACACGUCUGGGGGGCGUGGGGUCGUGGGUUCAAAUCCCGCCACCCCGA